AGGUAAAUGUCAAAACUUUCAAAAUCCAGACGUCUACAACUAAGCUUUUGCCCAAAACGAUGAUUAAAAAAAACAAAACAUGUCCAUUUUCCAAUUUGAUGUUUGGUAGUCCCUCAAACAAUUCCUAAUAAAUCUAAACAAUAGCACAAGACAUGGUAUUGAGCUUCUCGUGCUUCACUAUUCCCAGCCAGUGGCAGCAGGAGCAGGAGCUACUGAUUGGGGUGGCGGUGCUGCUGCGUCCCAUUCAUUAGAGAAUCCACCUAAAGUUGAAUAAACACAGAAAUGGUGUUAGGAAAAAAAAAAUCUGCCACUAACAACUGUACAACAAAUGUAUCUUAGUAUCCGCGCACUUGUAGCAUUUAGUUAUGCUAGCAAAUAGUAAUACGAAGCUUAAAAAGUACUCUUAAAAAAUUUUAUAUGGCAAAAUAGUUUCGAAAGCACAACAGGAGCAGAUGAAAAUGAGGGCGGUUCAAUAGUGUUUGAAUAACUUACUACCCUGCUCUGGAUAUGAGUUGGAAGCAGGAACAGCAGAAAUAGGUGGUGGAGCUGCUUCAGCAGUCCACUGGCCAUCAGCAAUUUGAGCAUCCCAAUCAGUAUUAGAAAGCCCAUAAUGAGUAGAAGGGAGUGCAUAAUCAGUAACUGGU
RNAcentral lists this unclassified non-coding RNA (644 nucleotides) under Hevea brasiliensis (rubber tree). The record is from RNAcentral. Lineage: Eukaryota; Viridiplantae; Streptophyta; Magnoliopsida; Malpighiales; Euphorbiaceae.